Molecule: ribosomal RNA, 253 nt
Filed under: uncultured bacterium
Lineage: Bacteria
Description: partial 16S ribosomal RNA
Rfam family: Bacterial small subunit ribosomal RNA
Source: RNAcentral
UACGUAGGGUGCGAGCGUUAAUCGGAAUUACUGGGCGUAAAGCGUGCGCAGGCGGUUCGCUGUGUCCGAUGUGAAAGCCCCGGGCUUAACCUGGGAAUGGCAUUGGAAACUGGCGGGCUUGAGUGUGGCAGAGGGGGGUGGAAUUCCGCGUGUAGCAGUGAAAUGCGUAGAGAUGUGGAGGAACACCGAUGGCGAAGGCAGCCUUCUGGGCCAACACUGACGCUCAUGCACGAAAGCGUGGGGAGCAAACAGG